This 443-nucleotide ribosomal RNA is filed under the name uncultured bacterium. RNAcentral's name for it is "partial 16S ribosomal RNA". It matches the Rfam family "Bacterial small subunit ribosomal RNA", at positions 338 to 795 of the family's 1533-position model. The record is from RNAcentral.
CCUACGGGAGGCAGCAGUGGGGAAUAUUGGGCAAUGGGCGCAAGCCUGACCCAGCAACGCCGCGUGAAGGAAGAAGGCUUUCGGGUUGUAAACUUCUUUUAUCAGGGACGAAGCAAGUGACGGUACCUGAUGAAUAAGCCACGGCUAACUACGUGCCAGCAGCCGCUGUAAUACGUAGGUGGCAAGCGUGAUCCGGAUUUACUGGGUGAAAGGGGAGUGUAGGCGGGUGUGCAAGUCAGAUGUGAAAACUAUGGCCUCAACCCAUAGCCUGCAUUUGAAACUGUACUAAUUGAGUGCUGGAGAGGCAAGCGGAAUUCCGUGUGUAGCGGGGGAAUGCGUAGAUAUACGGAGGAACACCAGUGGCGAAGGCGGAUUGCUGGACAGUAACUGACGCUGAGGCGCGAAAGUGUGGGGAGCAAACAGGAUUAGAUACCCUUGUAGUC